Molecule: long non-coding RNA, 852 nt
Filed under: Cyanistes caeruleus (blue tit)
Lineage: Eukaryota; Metazoa; Chordata; Aves; Passeriformes; Paridae
Description: lncRNA (ENSCCEG00000020904.1)
Source: RNAcentral
UGGCUCUAUGAUCCCAUGGUUCUAUGAUAUCAUGGUUCUAUGAUGUCAUGACUUUGAUUCUAUGAUGUCCUGGCUCUAUGAUAUCAUGAUUCCAUGGCGCUUUCCAUGAUUCUACUGUUCAAUAACUUCAUGAUCCCACGGUUCUGUGUUUCUGCGGUCCCAUGUCGCUAUGACUCUGUGAUUCCCUGACCUUGGGUCUGGCCUGGAAUUACAUCCUUGAAGAGAAACGCGAUAAACUCACAUUGAUCAGCAGCAGAGGGCGUCCAACACACGCGUGUCCCUAAAUCCCGGCCCCGAGCUCCAACAGCAGAUCCAACGGUGGCCAAAACUCUUACUCGGAGCGCGGCCGAUGCUUCCCCGCCAAUUGUGCCGCUGCCCCAGGUUUCCUUCCCCGCUCCCUGCUCGGUGCCAUACGGGAGGUGCAGACCCAAUUGUUCGCCCUGUGGCCCCUGCAGACAGGAUACGAGCCCAGUGCCAGAUUUUAAUGUGAAAUCUCCCUUUCUGCUCCAUCAUGUGACUGGGUUUAGCAGCCCAGACCAGCUAACAUGUCUGAUGCCACCACAAAGAUCAAGGUAAGAUUUAAAACUCCCCAAAUUCACCUUAGCUGGUGCAUGGGGUCAGUGAGGGUCGUGCAGCCCAUAAAGUGAGAGAGCAGAAGGGCUGUGUCCUUCCUCAAGGACAACUUGAUGCAUUAUCCUGCCCAGAGCAGAGCAUUGUCCUGCCCCACCCCUGGAAGUGUCCAGGGCACUUGGGACAACCUGGGGUAGAGGAAAGUGUGCCUGCCCAUGGCAGGGGGUGGCACUGGAUGAACUUUAAGAUUCCUCCCAACCCAAAGCAUUUCGUGACUGUGAA